CAAUAGCGUAUAUUAAAGUUGUUGCGGUUAAAAAGCUCGUAGGCAUCUGGUUCGGCCUUGGCAUCUUCUUGGUGAACGUAUCUGCACUUGACUGUGUGGUGCGGUACCCAGGACUUUUACUUCGAGGAAAUUGGAGUGCUUCAAGCAGGCCAAAGCUUGCACAUACUAGCAUGGAAUAAUUCUACUAUGCCUCAGUUCUCUUUUGCUGGCUUUGAAAUCUGAGGAAAAGACCGAUAGGGACAGUUGGGGGCACUCGUAUUCGACGGUUAGAGGUGAAAUUCUUGAAUUCGUUGAGGCCGGUCUACUGCGAAGGCAUUUGCCAAGGAUGUUUUCAUUGAUCAAGAACGAAAGUUAGGGGAUCGAAGACGAUCAGAUACC
RNAcentral lists this ribosomal RNA (378 nucleotides) under uncultured eukaryote. RNAcentral describes it as "bacterial SSU rRNA". It matches the Rfam family "Eukaryotic small subunit ribosomal RNA", at positions 592 to 1016 of the family's 1831-position model. The record is from RNAcentral.